RNAcentral lists this ribosomal RNA (497 nucleotides) under uncultured bacterium. RNAcentral's name for it is "partial 16S ribosomal RNA". It matches the Rfam family "Bacterial small subunit ribosomal RNA", at positions 28 to 507 of the family's 1533-position model. The record is from RNAcentral.
GAUGAACGCUGGCGGCGUGCCUAAUACAUGCAAGUCGAGCGAACAGACGAGGAGCUUGCUCCUCUGACGUUAGCGGCGGACGGGUGAGUAACACGUGGAUAACCUACCUAUAAGACUGGGAUAACUUCGGGAAAACGGAGCUAAUACCGGAUAAUAUAUUGAACCGCAUGGUUCAAUAGUGAAAGACGGUUUUGCUGUCACUUAUAGAUGGUUCCGCGCCGCAUUAGCUAGUUGGUAAGGUAACGGCUUACCAAGGCAACGAUGCGUAGCCGACCUGAGAGGGUGAUCGGCCACACUGGAACUGAGACACGGUCCAGACUCCUACGGGAGGCAGCAGUGGGGAAUAUUCCACAAUGGGCGAAAGCCUGACGGAGCAACGCCGCGUGAGUGAUGAAGGCCUUCGGAUCGUAAAGCUCUGUUAUUAGGGAAGAACAGAUGUGUAAGUAACUAUGCACGUCUUGACGGUACCUAAUCAGAAAGCCACGGCUAACUACGUG